ACCGGCGCACGGGUGAGUAACACGUAUGCAACCUACCUUCAACAGGAGAAUAACCCGUCGAAAGACGGACUAAUACUCCAUAACACAGGGAUCCCGCAUGGGAAUAUUUGUUAAAGAUUUUUUCGGUAGAAGAUGGGCAUGCGUUCCAUUAGCUAGUUGGUUGAGGUAACGGCUCACCAAGGCAACGAUGGAUAGGGGAACUGAGAGGUUUAUCCCCCACACUGGUACUGAGACACGGACCAGACUCC
RNAcentral lists this ribosomal RNA (248 nucleotides) under uncultured Porphyromonadaceae bacterium. Its description in RNAcentral is "partial 16S ribosomal RNA". It matches the Rfam family "Bacterial small subunit ribosomal RNA", at positions 94 to 339 of the family's 1533-position model. The record is from RNAcentral. Lineage: Bacteria; Pseudomonadati; Bacteroidota; Bacteroidia; Bacteroidales; Porphyromonadaceae.